AAUAAUUUUUUUAAGUCUGAAGACUGCUGAUAGUGGCACUGUUAUUUCUCAUAUUGUGCUUGCCAGUUUUGUGACUUUGGUAUAAUUUACAUGCCUUUAAAUACUUACACCAUAUAUGUGUACAAGGCUGGGUGCAGUGUCAGUUAUGGAAGGGAUGACUAUCCCCAUAUAAAUAAUACAUUCUUAAUAAUAAAUGUGUCAUGUAAUAAAUAUGAAAAAAUGUGUGUAUAAAAUAUCUUCUCGCUCAUCUUUAUUGACAUUCACUUACAGGCUGAGGCACUAAAGAAAAUGUUUUCUCACAGACCAAUGGUACUGUAAUUGUUGUGCUUAAGAAACCACGUGGAUCUCUACCACAUAACUGAAGAACUGAUGGAAACCGGAGACAUGAAGAUGUCUAAUCAACUGGCUUGUUUUAUAGGCAUUAGGGGCAUCUUAUUUCAAGAAGAAACCCAUCCUGAUGCAAUUUAAAUCCAUCUUGUCUUGUUUAAGCUUCAAAAAAGAGAAAACUGUACCAGGUUUCCUCUGAAUAUUUCUUGACUUGUUUUUCUCCAUCUGUAUUCAGUCACCAUCUUUCCAUGAUCCCACUGACUGUGUUUCAUGCUACUUACGGCAUGGGAAGAGCUUAUAAAACUCAUAUUGUUAGAAAUAAAAGAAAUCCUUUAACAAUU
Callorhinus ursinus (northern fur seal) is the source of this 668-nucleotide long non-coding RNA. RefSeq lists it as uncharacterized. NCBI's taxonomy places the organism in Eukaryota, Metazoa, Chordata, Mammalia, Carnivora, Otariidae. The record is from RefSeq and is a predicted model, not a curated record.